Perognathus longimembris pacificus (Pacific pocket mouse) is the source of this 1687-nucleotide long non-coding RNA. RefSeq lists it as uncharacterized. The record is from RefSeq and is a predicted model, not a curated record. NCBI's taxonomy places the organism in Eukaryota, Metazoa, Chordata, Mammalia, Rodentia, Heteromyidae. The transcript is spliced from 2 exons.
AGUUGGGUGUCAGUGUUGGUGUCAGACAGGUCUAAUGUCCCAGUGCUGUCACCCGUUGUAAGGCGCUCCAGUGAGCAAGCAAUGCGUGGACUCGAUGCUUUCCCUUCCUUCUUAUCUGGUUCCUGCGUCCGCUGGCAGAAAGGAAAUGGAGACGUGCCCUUUACAGACAGGGAUCCUGUGAUUACUGAUUGAAACUUCAGUUUCAUGCCAUUGAACUUUUGUUCAGUCUAUGGUCCCAGUAAAGUGUUGCCUCUGAGGGAAGCCAUGCUCAGCCUUUGUUUUAUACACCUUGAUUUUUUGGAUCUUAGUAGCGAUCCAGAACUUUCCACUUCACUCAAAAAGAUAAACAUCUAUGGAAACAGAAGAACAAAAUACCAAAUUAGGGGGGGGGGGGGAGUUGGGUUUUUGUUGUGGCUGUUUAGGUUUUGCCAUGUAUCCCAGGCUGGCCUUGAACUCUCAAUCCUGCCCCAGCCUCAAGUAGCUGAGGUUACAAGUGUGUGUCAUCUUAUUUCUAAGAUUGUGCUUUUUAUGUUUUCUGGUGACAGUAAAAAUGUUUAAUGUGUUACUCAGUUCAAGCCGAGAUGUCCAGGUGCUGUAGGUUAUCCAUCCUGGCACUCUCCACGAGGUUACCAUUGAUAAUGCUGAAGGACUCCCUGUAACCUGCACUGCUCACUUUUUGGAGGGUUUUCCCUCCUGAGGCUUUCCUUUCCUGCUCUUCUGUCUGUACCAAAAUUCACUUUUGCAGAGAAAGCCUUUUUCCAUAGUGCCCAGUACUCGAGUGAAAUGUGGAGUUGACUCCUGAGAAUGGAGACAGGGGACAAGACAAGAGGAGAUACCUUGAGGGUACUUUUUGUACCUGGAUCCAAAUACUGUUUUCUUAGUUCUUGUAUGUUGGGCAUGAGUACAUCUGAAUAGAGUGACUCUGGGUCCCUCUGGAAUUGAGACCCUUUGGAUUUACAUGCCCAGUCAUUCAUUUUCUGUUUUGCCAUUAAUGAUCUCAACCUGGUGAAAAUGACUUCUAGGAACUAGUGUAGCCUUUUUUGUUCCUGAUCCCUUAUCUUUCAUUAUUAUUUUUUGGAAGUUGAGUUUUCUACUGUUUGUACUAUUAAGUUGUUGAGGAUAAAUGGCCAUGUCCACUGUUUCCCUGAGUUUUUGUGGCAAAUGUUGGGCCCUCGCACUAACAGUCAUGUUCUGUGCUCUCCAAAAUGAUGCAGAACUUUUCAUCAUGGUCUUAAUAUAAACUGGUGGUGUUUAAACCCUUGAGUUUUACAGGGGCAAGGAAAAUGAUGGGCAAGUGAGUUUUAAAGAUAUUUAUUGAAUAAGAAGCAAAGACAGAACUGAGCCACGUCCUAGAAGAGCUUUUUUAUUUUCUUUCUUUGUACCCAGCCUAAAUUCUGACUUUAAGAACAAUUUUUUGUAUCCCCCUACUCCAUUAGCUCUUGCUUGGGGUGGGAUUGACCCCAGUCAUGCUUCAUGAUGACAGAACAUGUUUUCUCAUGACAAAUGCCAAUAUAGAAAUUUAAAAAUAUUCCUUUCCAAAUGCACUUUGUAAUUUUUUGCUUUUAAAAUGGCAUCUUGAAAAUUUUAUUGUAUUUGUACUUAAUUUUUGUUCUCAUCUAAAUGUGCAUUUUCUGACUGUAUAGAAGAAGCUUUGUUAUGUAAUUUAAUAAUAAAUAUCUAAAUGGUG